RNAcentral lists this long non-coding RNA (21400 nucleotides) under Ananas comosus (pineapple). RNAcentral's name for it is "long non-coding RNA (ACOM_LNC006530)". The record is from RNAcentral. Lineage: Eukaryota; Viridiplantae; Streptophyta; Magnoliopsida; Poales; Bromeliaceae.
AAAAAAAAAAAAAAAAAAAAAAAAAAAAAGGUAUGUAAAGAAGGAUAGCACCCUCGCACCAACCUUGAAAGUAAACAAGCGAAAUUCUACUCACACAUCCAACAAUUAAUAAUUCAUAUAAUAAAAUAUAUAUAUAUAUAUAUAUAUAUAUAUAUAUAUAUAUAUAUAUAUAUAUAUAUAUUUUGGGGAAAUGAGAUACUUAUAGGAGUUGUUGCUUUGUUGGUUCAAUUUCUUUUCUUUUUUUUUUUACUUACCGUGGGCUGGUUUUGGAAGGUAAUUAAUUUAGUUCAAAUGUUAUGUAAAAAAAAUUUCAUGUUUUACCCGUUUUCAUAAAAAUUCAUCCUUACACCUAUAAGCAAUUACAAAAAUAGAAGCUAUAAAUUGAAAUGCGACGUGAACUGCAUUUGUGAUGUUCAAAUAUACCACCAUCACUGCAACCACUAUCACCGGCCCCUCGAUCGCGAUUACCAUUAAGCCCAAAAACUCUUAAAUUUACCACAAUCAUAAAAUCACAAAAUAAAAAAAGAAUCAAUUCUUUGUGGUUUACAAUAAGAAUGUAUUGUAUUUUGUCACACAUUACUUUUUGGAGAUUUUCUUGUGCUUAGCCUAAGCCCACAUGAGCCCAAAAAUAUAAUAUAUUUUGUAAAAUCUGAUUCAACCUAAAAGCGGAUGUUUAUUAGAUUUGAGUCUACACUCUCUUAUAAUUAUCGGAUGUGGGAUUGGUUGCAUGUGAACUCUUAGGCCACAUUUGUUUCACCGAAGUUGAAUUUUGGGUUGAAGUAAAUUUGGAUUGAAGUGGAGUUUGGUAAAAACUACUUCUUGCUCGCUAUUUGUAUCGUAGUUACGGAAGUAAAGUUUUAUUAGUUCUACUGUUUGUUUGGUAGAAAGUGUGUGAUUAAAACUAUAAUUUAUGUGUAAACAAUAAAUAAUUUAAUAAAUAAAAAUAAUAUAAUUAUAUAUUUAUAUAAUUAAAAUUUAAUUUAAAAUAACUAAAUUAUUAUUGUAUACAUAAAUUAUAGUAAUACAACAAUAAAAUUAUAAAAUAAAAAAAUAUUAGAACUAGGUUGGAAUACUAUUAAUAGCACCAAGCUAUUGGUGCUAUUAGUUUUUUAACCAUUGAAUUGAGAAAUGUGUGGUUAGGAUGAUGUGGGCCUCCUAGAGAUGAGUGAGUGGUUGGUUGAGUAGUAUAAUCUAACAGGUAAAAAUAAUCAAAGAGUUAAAUCUAACGAUGGAAAACUCGAUAGCAUCAAAUCCUUAGUACUAUCGAUAAUAUCCCAGCCGGACUCAAAAUAUUAAUACUUAAUUAAUCAAUUUUUAUCACAUUUUAAUUGUACAAACUAAAUAAAAAAAAUAUUAAAACCUAACUAAUCAAUUCUUAUUAUAUUCUAAAGGGAUAAUUUCAUAGAUGCCCUUCUAGGGACUUUUAAUUUCAUCAAUACCCUUCUAAAAUUGAUAAUAUCAUGAAUACCCUCCAAUAUAUAAAAAAUUUUCAUACAUACCCUCCACUAGUUAAAGUCCGUUAGAAAUGGGAUUAAAUUUUCAAAAUGCCAUUUUUACCCUUUAUCUCUUAUCAAUAGUAAAAUUACUAAUAGGUAUUUUAAGACAAUUUUAAUAAAUAUAAAUUUAACUAAUUUAAUAUACUAAAUAUAAAACUAAAUUAUUAAUAUAUACAUUAAUUAUUAAAAAUAUAUAAAAAAUGUAUUUUAUAUAUAAUAUGUUUUUAUAUAAUUUUGGUUUUGUUUUUGGUUUCGGAUUUCGGCUCAAGUUUAGUUUGGAUAUAGACUAAAACAAUAACUGAAUUUGAAUAUAAUGAGACUUUUUUUUUUUGCUUCUAUAACUGAAACUAUCCCUGCUCAGCAUCAAUUAAGAUCACCCAUUCAAAAUUGGGUUCAUAUAUAUCUAUAUCAAUUCACAUUCCUAAUCAGUAAUAGUAAAUUUAAAAUAAAUGAUAGAUUUAUUUUUUUUAUUUAAUCAAAAAUAAAUUAUAUAACUAUAUGCAUGCAUUUUUUCGUCGAUUGAAAAAAAAGAGAGAGUUUUGUUCAAAAGCUAAAAUAUAUAAUAUUUCAGUUUUUUAAUGCAUUUAAUAUAGAUAAAAUUAUCGUGAAUAAUUUUGGUUAAAAAAUUUUGCAAGUUUCCAAGAUUAAACAAAGAUAAAAAAAAAAUCCUCAACUUUUAUUUUUAUUUAAAUUUUUAUACAUAGUUAUUUAUUUGCUAAAAUAUAAAUAGAGCCACUAGAUUUUGUUAAAUCAUAAAAAAAAUGGACAAAAUCUCAUUUUCCGUACACUAAAAUUAGUCAAUUUUUAAAAAAAUUAAAAAUUAAUGGGAUGUCAACUAAAAUAUAAAAGUUGAGGGAGUUGUUUUAAAAUGACAUAUAGCUGAGGGAUCUCCAUGCAUUUUUACUUAUAGGAGUUGAGGGUAAACUAGUCAUAUUAAAAGUUAACCCAUCUUUAACCAUUUAAUAACUAUGGUAAAAUUAGAAUAACUAACAGUAGGGGUAUUGAUGUUAAUUUUUGAUGUUUACAGAGGUAUGUAUGAUAUUUUAAAUUUUAGAAGGGUAUAUAUGAUAUUUUAAAGUUUAGAAGGGGCAUCUAUGAAAUUGCCCCUAUUCUAAAUAUGCUAACUGAAUAAAAGAGUAAUUAGUACCAAAAUUAUAUAUAUGUAAAUAUAACUAUUUUUACCUAGUGUAUUAUUUUAUUAUUUUUUCUUCAUCUCUAUAUCUUCACCGUAAGUGACUUCGACUUACGAUAGGCCGAAGACAUUUAGGUCAUUUCAGGUUAACUUGAGUUUCAACCGUAACUUUUGUACGGUAAACCAAAUAACUAAAGUGAUCGUUUAUGCCAAAAACGACUUUUUUCUUCUCCAAUUUCACCCCAUUUCCACCCAAAUAAUUUUACAUGCCCUUAACAUUACUUUCGAAUCAAUAUUAAGAAACUGACACCGACCGUCGCUAGCGUAAGCGGCAAAAGGGGUGGGUGGUUGGUACCUGAGACUCAAGUUCGAAUUCUAAUUGAUUCACAUUUUCAGCUCAAUUUAUUUCUAAAUGAAAUAAACGAAACAGGUAGCAUACUACCUUUCUCUCAUAUAUAUAUAUUAUUAAUGAUAUAUACUAUAUAUAUAUAUAUAUAUAGAGUUGAGCUAGAAUACUCUCGAUAGUAAACGGGGCGUUUACUAUCGAGAUUGUUUCGAUGAUAGAGCUUCCAAUUGACGAUCGUCCGUUAAAUAUGAUCUAAACCAUUUAAACUACUAGAAAUCAAAUUUCACGCACUUUCGAUAUUGUUUUUUAUCCAUCUAGUGAACAAAAAAUGAAUGGCUGAAAAUGAAUAUUCUUUAAAAAUGAUGAUAGGAGUCUUGUAAUCAAGAUCAAGAGUAUAGAUAUUGUUUUAAAUAGUUUAAAGAAUUUUCUAACAAAAAUUCAAUUGAUUUGGAUAUCUUUACACCGUUAAACGAGAAACGUCUCUUAUUCCACCAUUAAAAUUACAAAUUUUGAACCCUUUGAUCAUUAGCAAAUGAUGUCGAAAAGAUUUUGAAAUUUGAUUUCUAAACACUUCAAGUGGUAUAGAUCAUGUUCAACGAGGCGAUCGUCAAUUUUGAAUGUUAUCAUCGAAACAACUCGAUAGUAAACAGCCGUUUACUAUCGAGAGUAUUCUAGCUCACACUCGUAUAUAUAUACUAUAUACUAUAUAUAUAUAUAUAUAUAUAUAGUAGGGCUGUUGUGCUCUCAGGAGCACAAAGGCCUCCGUGCUCCUGAGCGUUUUCGAUGAUGGAAUUUUCGAAUCGACGAUCGGCUCCAUUAGACUUGAUCUAGCGCAUUUGAAAUUUCUAGAAAAUAAUUUUUGUGAUUUUUUUAUAUCAUUUACCUAGUGAUCGAAAGGAUUCAAAAUCCAUAAUUUUUAAUGGUUGAUAUCUGCUGUUUUCAAGUUUAACAGUGUAGAAGUAUUCAAAUCAUAUGAAAUUUUAAUACAAAAUUUUUUAUACUAUCUAUAACAAGAUCAAUAUUUCUGAUCGAAAAUUUUAGUGCUAUAUCACCACUUUUUAUAGGAUUUUUAUUUUCAGCCGUUAAAAUUAUUGAUUUUGAAUCCUUUCGAUUGCUAGGUAAAUGAUAUCGAAAAAUCGCAAAAAUUAUUUUUCAGAAACUUUAAAUACGCUAGAUCAAGUCUAACGGAGUCGAUCGUCGAUUCGAAAAUUUUAUCAUCGAAAAUGGCUCAGGAGCACGGAGGCCUUCGUGCUCCUGGGAGCACAACAGCCCUGCUCUAUAUAUAUAUAUAGAGAGAGAGAGAGAGAGAGAGAGAGCGAGAGAGAGCGAGAGAGAGAGAACUAGGCUAAUAUACUAUUAAUAGCACCAAGUCAUUGGUACUACCAAGUUUUUGGCCAUUGGAUUAAAAGAUGUGCGGUUAGGAUGAUGUGGACUCUCUAGGGUUGAGUGGGUGGUUGGUUGAAUAGUAUGAUCUAACGGGUGAAAAUGAUCAAAAGGGUAAAUCUAACGGCGGAAAACUUGGUAGCACCAAGUGCUUCGUGCUAUUAAUAGCAUAGUAACCGGACUCAUAUAUAUAUAUAUAUAUAUAUAUAUAUAUAUAUAUAUUUAUAUUAAGAAACUGACCUUGCAACCAACACCAUGAAAACAUGGCGUUUAACAAGGACCACCAAAUGGGUCCACACCACUUCACAAAGCUCGCUCCCUCUCUCUCUCUCUCUCUCUCUCUCUCUCAAGCUCAAAGUUUGUGUGUCAAGUAAAACACGUCUCCAUGUUUUAACUUGGCAACCUAAUAAUUAAGAGUUAAGUAAACCAAACAAAAGGAGCUCUAGUGUAGCUCCACUAACUACUCACAUACACAUGGAAAGGGCUAAUGUUGCUUAGGGCAAGAACGACAUCAUUUGAAUUAAGUGAUUGUUACUGAAAACAGAAGUUAAUAACGCGAAUUUGGUUCAACCCGUAUCACAUUAAAAUUAAUUUCAUGCAAGAGUGCGUAUAAACUGCUAUUGCAAGUUACAAGUUACAACUAAUUAAACACUGUCGGAUGGGGCGUCCCCAUCGCUCAAAUGAAUAUAAGACCAAAAGCAUCGAAGAGAGAGAGAGAGACGCGUGUUGAGUGCGACAAAGAAAUGGACCCAAUCGCACUCAAAUAUACACCUCAUAUAAAGAUGUACAUUUUACACUUCUCAAAUUUAAAAAUUUAUAAAAUUUUAAUGUACAUCACACGGAGAUUAUAUUUUAAUAUGAGAUGCAUGUGGAUAUUAUUGCUCAUAAAAAUAAAGUAUCCCAAUUUAUCCAUUAUACAAAUUAUAAAAAUUGAGAAAUUGGAUAACUGGAUUGGUGUGGUUGAUAACUUUUUGGCACAUUGCAACACAGUUCCACACUAAUACAUAUAUGUUUAUAUAUAAAUAAUCUUUUUGAUCCCCUUCCAAGGACUCAAAAACAAGCAAAACAAAAAUCAUCUCUAAAAAGAAAAAAAAAAUAGCCAUUUAAAAAAAAUCUAAUAUGUUUUUAAUAUUUAAAUAAAAAUCCUAGAAUGUUAGAUGCAACUUGGGAUCAGUACAGCACAUUGGCUAUAACAUGUAACCAGCUAGUAUAAACGUGUACUGUUUUACAGAUUGUUGUUAAUAUGUCACGUUAAUUUUAUUAUAUUUUUUUGGGUAUAGCAUAAGUUAAGAUAUUGUUGUAUCAUGCAUCUAAUAAAUAAAAAAUAAUUAAUUAUGAGAUGGAAAAAAAAAAAGAAAUAUCAAAUAAUAAUGCACCUAAUAAUAAUAAUAAUAAUAGUGUUUGUUUAAGCUUAAGUACGUACGGCCACAAGAACAAACGAAACCAGCUGUACGAUUCGUGUACUGUUAGCGGACAAUUUUUACGUGCACCCGGUCCAUAGACCGGACGCGUUCUCUGGUGCACAAGUGAUGUGGUAGGCUAAUUCCACUGAAAAGUAGCAGCUCUUUCCUUCUUUUUUUUUUUCUUUUUUGGGCCAAAAAGAUUCUGUUCUUGCAGUGGAAGGGAAGUAGCUCGGAUGACCUAGGAAUGCAUCGUAUGCUUAUAAAGCUGGCAUUUUUACCGAUUAUUAUUAAGCCGUAACCGACACGUGGCAGUCCCAACGAGCGGAAAUAGAUAAAUAAUAAAAACAACAACUCCAAAUUGGAAAAGUUUUUUUAAAAAAAAUUAAUGAAAUCUGUUUAUUUAUUCGCAAGAGGCAUCAAUCAAACAAUAGAACAAGUAAAUUACAUACAAAUCGCCUCCCAUAAUUACAGCACACAAAAGAACGUAAGAAUUUUCAAUGACAACAUGGGAAACAAAAUACGAGCCAAAUUACACGAAAAAAGAACACCUCCAUAUCCUUUUCCCCGUUUCGCAAUUACCCCCCUCAUGCUUCAAAUUAUAUGUUAAUAAUAUAAGUUCUAUCUCUCACUCAAAUUAAUUCACUGCGCACAUCUAUAUAUCUAGCUUGUAGUGCAAAGUCUAAUUUGUCUAAACCACACACACAUACCUAAAACACCCACCUCCUCCUCUGCAACACCUUUUCUAAAUUGUUAAUUCGUUAACAAAACAAAUAUAUAUAUUAUUUAUUUAUAUAUUAAUUAAUUCGUAGAAUUUUCUUAUUUAAGUAUAACAACUCAUAUAUAUAUAUAUAUAUUUAUUUAUUUAUAUCUAUUAUUAUAAAGCGAUUCAAAAUUCAGGGGGGGGCAUUGAGAAGCAGGUAAAAAGCGAUGGGGGGGGUUAUUAGUCUCGAAAUUUAGCCCAGCCCAGCCCAGCCCAGCCCAAAAUAAAUAAAAUAUUGAACAAAGAAUUUCCCUAGCACGACUGUCGAAGCACGGCGAUGGACGGCGGCGCGACUUUUGUAGAGCGUGGCGGCGACGGGCGACGGGCGGUGGAUGAGAUGGUUUGGUUUUUUCCCCUACCCGGCUACCCCUAAAUAUUUUUUCCUUUUUUUUUUUUGUUUUGGGACUUAAUUAAUUAAUUAAUUAAUCAAUAAAUUACCGGGAGUAGGCGGUGAGCGUGGUGGUAGUAGGGGUGGUGUGGGCCGGGGGGAGGAUAGUAGGAGGAGAAGAAGAAGAGGUCGUAGGGGGCCCAGAGGUGGUCGAGGGGGCAGGGGCGUCGGGCGUCGAGGCGGGCCCAGGGCUUGCCGCUGCCGCUCCAGUGGAGGAGGCUGACGGGGCCCGGGUGGAGGUCGCGGCAGCUGCGAACACCAGCAUCAGCGGCGGCAGCGACCCCAGAUCGUAGAUCCGCGCCCGCCGCUGCACGCGCAUCCACCGCUCGAUCCGCGCCGUCGCGCCCCCGCGCCGCCACCGCUCCAGGUCCAGCACCAUCACCCCCGUGUUGAAGUAGCACGGCCGCCGCCUCCGCCGGCCGAACGCGGCGGCGGCGACGAGGCGCGGGUCGGACCAGAAGCGCGGGGUGAAGUAGGCGGAGAAGUUGGCGGCGGCGCAGUACUCGGGGGCGCCGACGGUGCGGCCGCGCAGGUCGGUGGCCCACAGCUUGGCCACGUCGUCGACCACCACCAGGUCCGAGUCCAGGUAGAUGACGCGGCGCACGCACGGCUCCAGCAGCUCCGCCAGGUAGUUGCGCGCGUAGUUCAGCGGCUGCUCCAGCGCCUCCCGCACCGAGCUCGAGAUCAGGCCCCGCACCCGCGCCGGGUCGAAGUAGUAGCACCGGAACCGGAGCCCCGGGAACACGAACCCCACCGCGGGGGCCAGGCCCCGGUCGGAGAGCACGAAGUGGAAGAAGACGCGCCCGGGGCAGCGCGCGUGCCGGAGGACGGAGUGGACCGCCGCGAUCGACCCGCGGAGGUACGCCUCGUCGAGGGUCAGCGCGAUGUGGACGAGGGCCGCGUCGCAGGCCGACGCCGAGGCCGAGGCCGAGGCCGCGCCGCAUUCGGCGGCGUCGGGGAAGGGCGGGGCGCGGCGGAAGGGGAAGCGGACGGCCUCGGCCUCGGCCGGGGGGAAGGGCUCGAGGGAGGGGGAGAGCACCACGAUCACCACCGCCGCGGAGAAGAAGCCCGAGAGCCGCACCGCCCACGCCAUGGCCGCGCCGCGCCGGCGCCGGCGAGGGCGGCGCGCGGGCUCGGAGCCGAAGAGUCCCCGGCGCGGGAUGAGGGCCGAGAGGGAGAGCACGAUUAGGGCUCCCUUGACCCCCGCCAGCCCUAGCUGGAGAAACCCUAAUUAACAGAAGAANCCUCUCUCUCUCUCUCUCUCUCUCUCUUCUACCUCGUCCAUGGAACUAUUGAAGGGAGCGGUUGCAGUGGAAAUGACUAAUAUUAAUGAUUACAACAACAACAACAACAAUAAUAAUAAUAAUAAUAACAGCAACAUUUUCUUUUUCUCUAUUUCGUUUUCCUACAUAAGAAUUUUUGUUAAUUCAUUAAUUAAAUACUAAUCACCUAAUUAGUUAAGGUUGUGAGACAUAAAUUUUUAUGCAGAACGAAUUAAUCAAUCGUCUUAAAAAAAAAAAGAAAAAGGCCAAGGACGAAUCACAACCGCCCUUUUUUUAAAAAAAUGGACGAUCAUGCCCUUAACUUUUUUUUUUUUUUGAGAGAAGAAUAGCACGCUACCCGCUUUAUUCAAUCUUAACAUUUUUUAUAUAUAUUUUUAAAAACUAACAAGUUAUCUGUUUCAUUCUUUAUAUAAAACAAACUUAGUUACUAGCCAAAGACAAAAAAGACCCAAAGGGAGACAACAACGUUUAUAAAAGAACAAGAGAAAACGAACAAGUUAAAAGAAUCAAGCGUUUACGAAUGCCUUCUAAGACACGGAACGAAUUCAAACUUCUAUCUACGAAGAUGAUAUUAUUGUUGAAUUUGUCUUUGUUUCCUUUGCACAUGUAUAUUUUUCCACAGCUAUCGGACUCUUACCGAGCUGUGGGCUAUAGGCAAAGUGUCCUUCAGACGGAAAAGUGUGUAUAUAAAGUAAAUGCAGGAAGAUAAGAGGUGGCCACAUGUUUAUGGAUCGUUUUCGCAAAGAACACAGAACUAUCCUGCCCAUAUUCGCAUUCGCAUGUUGUCGGCUAGGGGUGCUAACGAGCCGAACACGAGCGAGCUUGGACCGAUUCGUAUUCAGAACACCAGCUGACUCGUUAAAGAAUCGAACCGAAAAAUUCAGCUCGUGUUCGAUUUGUUAAUAAACAAGCCGAUUACGAGCUGGCCAACGAACAAUAACUUAAAUAGAUUAGAUUAGAUAUAUAUAUAUAUGUAUAUAUAUAUAUAUAAUUAAAUUUGUAAAAUCUUACCUAUUUGAUAGUUGAAACUUUACAAAUAAAUGAGUCUUUUACAAUUUAUAAAUUCAGCUCGUCUUUUACCUAUUAGAUAGUUGAAACUUUACAAAUUAAAUUUAAAAACACAUCUAUUUCGUCACAGAUAAUGAUAAUGAAAGUUAUUAUUAGCCUUAUCUCCACAUUUAGUUAACAACUAAAUCAAGAAUUAGACAUUCAUGUAUCAAAAUCAAAUUAUAAUUGAAACUUGCGGUUUAUCGAAUUGGGGAUAAAAGAGGGUAAAGUGUCUAAUCACAUGCCAUUAUUUCCUUCAUAUAGAAUCCAAAUUAAGCAUUUAAAAUUAUAAAUAAAGGAAACAAAAUUAUGCUAUCUUUGUGAUUCCCUUCCAUUACCCCUGCUUUUGCCAUUUUCAUCUUCAUAUAUAGUCGAUUCAUGUUUCGAACACAAAUCUCUCUCCCUCUCUCUCUAAAACAAUUAUGAAGGGGGGGGAAAAAAGUUACAGUUGUAAUUUUGAGCGUGAAAUGUGCAUCAAGUUGCUAAGAUUAAGAACAUGAUAAGGUGUAUAAACAACUAAAUACAAGUAAGGUUAUUAUCUACAAUCCUUUUCCCCCAGAAAAGACCUAUUAUUAUCAACAAUCAUAUCAUCCAAGUCUCUGUUACUUUUAAUUAUUUUUGGACCAUGGACCCUAACAAAGUAUUGUGGCAAAUAGCUUUAAAACGUCUCUAUCCUUCUUAACUUGAUGCGAAAGCAACUACUUACUUUGGAGACUAAAAAUAUUUAGGCCCUAAUAGAGUUUUGAUUAAUGAUCUAAUGAUGAUGCAUUAUUAAUCAAAACCCACCAUUCCCUAGGUAAAUAUAAAAAUUAGUCAGAUUGUUCUAUAAGAAGAGGGCACCCUCUUGCGCAACAUAGUUGGAGCGUGACAAUAAUGUUCUGUUUGUGUAUAAAUAAUGCUUAAGUCAAUACAUAUGAUAACAUUUAUACAAGUCUAUUGAAUUAUGAAAGGAUUUUUUUUUUCUUUAGUUUUAAUCAUAACCUAUGCGUUCUUAGUGUUUACUGGGGAAAUAUAUAGUUUACUUUGUUGAAGACCCAUAUAUUGUCCUUCAACGCAUGCACAUAACGUAGUAAGAGAAUUUCUGAGUCCGUUUUAAGAAAACUGUGGUUUGGAGUGGAAUUUCUUUAGUGGUUACACACUAUAUAUGGGUUCAACUUAAACCCAAACCCGACAAAAUUCGACCGCAUAGUUGCUGAACCAUCUUUAACCUAUUUGGUUGGAAAUAAUCACUCUUAAUUCUGGGUUAUCCAAUGGGUCAUCUUGUCGGAUCGUUGGUACUAAUCAUUAAUUUCAAAAAUUCGAGCGGUUAGAAAUACGCAACCAAAUCACUUAAAGUUUAUAGACACAACGCUCAUGGAUCUCAAUUAUGACUCGGCCCAUCCGGCCUCAUGUCACUUCGAACAUGACUCGGCCUAUCCAGCUUCACGCCAUUUCAAAUGUGACUCAGCCUAACCUGGCCUCUUACCAUAGGGUAAGAUGUUGACACAUUUAAGCCAACACAUCUAACAAGUCACUUGAGAAUUCAACCCCAAUCCUAUUUUAACCCAAGAAAAGUUCAUGCAAAUUGGCUCAUAUAAUGCAAAUGAAUAAACAUGUUUAAGCUAAGCUUUUGACAAUAAACUACUGGAGGCCUAAUUUCCAAUAAGCAAGAUAUAUUUUUCAUUUUAUUUUUUUUAAAAAAAGAUUUUGGGCUCAAUCCAACAAUUGUCCUAGUGAUUUAAAGGGGUUGUUUUGGAGGCCCAACGGAGCACGGCCCAACUACCAGAUAAUAUUAAGUACGUGGGUUAAUGGGCCGAGCACGUACGGCCCAUGACAAGCUGUUGCCGCAGCCGAAGCUCACAUUCAUUUUUCACGUGAGCUGCGGUCGCCCAUAGUACGGGCACAGUCCUAGAGUAGGCACCAUCACCGUCCAACGCUCAACGGACGGUUCUGGAUCAGAUCUGGACCCCGCCAGCUACUUACUCCUAACACCUACCUGUAUCUGUCUCGUGUACCUCAUCCGACAGAGUCAGCGCAAUUUAAUGCGGCGCCCAUCUUGUCGCAUAUGCAGCCCAAAUCUACGGUCCUGAUUUGACGGUGCGGUAUUAUAAUAAAGUAGCUCCAUCUCUUCAGUGCCCCCGUGAGCAAGUGGCGGUGAGCGGAUCCGCUUUCUUAAAUGCACCCAAAACCCUUCGCGGCCUAGGAAAAUAACUGCGCGGACAUGGUCCACCACGUCAUCGUGGACCCACAAAAACAUUAUUUCUCGGUAACUAGUUUCGACCUCUAUUUAUGUAUAUCUUCUCGAAGAGUGAGUUUUUAGAUUUGUUAGAUUAAAAUUUAGAGAGGAAAAAAAAAAAAAAUGUGGAAGGAACCAUCGGUCCACCGAUGACGUGGUGAAAGGUGUCUAGGGAAUUAUUUGUCCCACUUUGGCGCGAACCUGCAAGCAAUCCCUCGCCCUAAAUGCGAAUGCGAUAACCACGCCAACCAUUUUUAUAUCACAACACGAAACUCGAAUCGAUCGAAGCGAAGAGGGAUUUCGAAAAAACAAAAAAAAAGGAAAAAUAAAGAGUGCUGUGGGAGGGGGAGGAGAUCGAGAUCGAGAUCGAUGGAGAUCGAGGAGAAGGAGACUUACCGGGGCGGGUUGAAGGGCUACUGGAGGCGGCGCGCGUACCACCGACUCGACGCGGCGGGGUCGGAUCUGCGGCGGCGGCGCCGCCGCGUGGAGCGGGCGGAGCUGGGCGGCGGAGAGCGGCGGCGGCGCCCCUUCUGGCGCGUGCGGAUCGCGCCGCGGCUGCGGUUCCUGCGGUCGGCGUCGCCGCGGCGGUGGCUGGCGAAGAUCCGGGACGCGUACGUGCGGAUGAUGCUGGGGUUCGCGUCCUCGGCGGCGAUCGGGCCGGCGGGGCUGGGCUACGGCUUCGGCUUCGGCUUCGCCGGCGACCCCACCGGCGCCGCGUUCGCGCCGCAGCGGCGGAAGGAGUACGACGAGAAGGUGCUCGUGGAGAUCGUCGCCGCCGCCACCGCCGGGGUCGGAGCUGGUGUCGGUGUUGCUGUUGGUGCCGGAGCCUUGGAGAUCGUUCCCGCCGCCACUGGAAGGUAGGGGAACAUUCCGGAAGGUUCCGUUCGUCGUAUUCGGUUUUCUAGCUUUUGUUCCGUAGAUGCUUUAACUUAAUUUUACUUAUGAAAAAAUGAAAAAGAAAAAACAAAAAACUCUGUAAUGUAAGUAAACGAAGCUAUUAUUAUAAUUAAUUUAUGCUAUGCUUAUAAAUAAAUUUUUUCAAAAAAAAAUUCAUAAUCGUCAAAGUAUCUGCAAGCAUAGACAUUCUUAAAUAAUGGAGUCGCUUAGUAAAAGCUCUCUUUUUUAUAUAUAUACACACAGUUUGAGGGAACAGUACCAUAUAUAUGCAAUAGUCUCCAUUAUUUUUAAAAAAUAAAUUUAUUUAAAUUAUAAAAUAAUUAGCUCAUGAUCUUUUUCCAAUAUGUAAAACUUUGCCUCUUUACUUCCAGUUCAGAGUCUCUGCAGAUUCUAAAUUCAGUGCAGUAUCUUAUCUUCUCUUCUUUUUUUUUUUCUGUUUUUUGAGAGAUAGAUAGUAGGCAACCGCUUCGUUUAUUUCAUUUAUAAAUAAACUUUAACCGCAAAUAUGAAUCAAUUAAGAUUCGAAUUUGGGUCUCGAAUACCAACCACCAAAUUCUUUAUCACUCGCUCUAGGGACAGUUGGUAGUAUCUUAUCAUUCUUACACUGAUAAUUUUUAUAUCCAAGUGUUAAAAAGUUUGGUUGUGGAUAUUCGAGUUGGUAAGUUCAAAUUCUAAUUGAUUUAUAUUUUUAACUAAAUUUAUUUUUAAAAAAUAACGAAAUGAAUAGUAUAUUAUAUUUUUCUCAGAAAAAAUAAAAUAUGCAGAUCGUUACCUUUCAUAUUUAAUAAUUUAGAUUUAUAUUUACAUUUAUAAGGAUCAGUCAAAACUAAUAUUAAACUAUACAAUAAAAUUUAAAAUUUAAAAACUUUUUUAUACUUUGUAUAGCAUAAAAUUUUUUAAUUGAAUAUAUUAUUUAUUUUUUAAAUGCAAUUUAUGCUAAUUGUGUUGUAAGCAUAUAUAUAUAUAUAGAGUGAGGCUACUAUGCUAUCGGAAGCACGGAGCCUUUCGUGCUUCCAGGUCGUUUUCGAUGUUGCGACUUUCGAAUUGUCGAUCGGCUCCGUUAAACUUGAUCUAGAGUAUUUGAAGUACCUAGAAAAUAAAUUUUAUUAUUUUUCGAUAUCAUUUGCCUAGUGAUCGAAUGUGCUCAAAAUCAAUAAAUUUUAAUGGUCGUAGUAAGCCGUUUGCAAGUUUAACGGUGUAGAAACAUCCAAAUCACGUGAAAUUUUGAUAGAAAAUUAUUUAUACUAUAUAAAACAAGAUCAAUAUCUUUGAUUUAAAAUUUUAAUAUCAUAUUAUCACAUUUUGUAAGAUUUUUAUUUUCAGCCGUUGAUUUUGAGCCCCUUCGUUCACUAGGCAAAUGAUAUCGUAAAAUCAUAAAAUUUAUUUUCUAGGUACUUCAAAUACUCUAGAUCAAGUUUAACGGAGCCGAUCGACGAUUCGAAAGUCGCAACAUCGAAAACGAGCUGGAAGCACGGAAGGCUCCGUGCUUCCGAUAGCAUAGUAGCCUCACUCUAUAUAUAUAUAUAUAUAUAUAUAUAUAUAGCAGGGUACUUCAUGUCAACUUUUGGAACCAAUAGUUAAAUAAGUAAUACUAUUUAUAUAUCUAUAAUAUAAUAUAGCUAUAAAAUUUACAUCCUAAUUAUUUCAUUCGUGAUGAUGUUGACCCCUACUCAUUAAUUUUACUCAAAGUUACGUAACCUUAUCAAUUCAAACAUAAAAUAUAUAAUAAUAUUUUUGAAAUAUUAUAAUUGGGUAGAGCCUACUAUUAUUACUACCUAUCUAGAUACGGUAUAUCUUUAUAUUUACGUAACAAAUUUGUUAUUAUGCCGUUCCUUUUGGAUUAACAGAGUGGUAGAAAUAUACAUAUUUUUGCUACUAAAUUGCUAAUUUUUGUAAGCACGAAAAUAAUAAACUAUCUCCCUAUGUGUUUUGAAAUUAUAAUAAUUUUAUUAUUUGAACAAUAACUGUUAUAUUUUUUAAUUUAAAUCUCAUAAUAAUAAUUUAAGCUAAAUAUUUAAAGCCAGAAUGUAAAAUGUCCAAAUAUUAUAAGGCUUAAUUUAGUAUUAAGCUCUACCCAACAUCGUUAAAUAAAAUGGAGUUAAGAAAAAAAAAUAUAAGGAUAUGCUUCUGUAUUUUUCGAUGGGAUCGCAGAAAAUAUAUCAUAACUGACCCAUUGUAAUAUGCAAAAUACAAUUGUAAUAUACGAAAUAGAAAAUAAACAGUAUUUUUCUUUUGUACUUUCUCAUCGCACGUAACGUAAUUUUCUCGACUGGCCCUUGCCUAGGCUGCAAAGAAUUUGAUAACUGAUAUUUCAAGUCAAGUUCAAAUUUUUUUUAUUAUUUUAUGCUUUAGUUAAAUUUAUUUUUAAAAAUAAUAAAUAAUAAAGUAGAUAGUAAACUAUUUUUUAAAAAAGAUUAAUAAAAAUAAAUAUUUUGUUUUCACAAGUGAUAACGGACUAGUGGUUGCUAUCAAGUUUUUAAGUCCGAAUCUUAAUCAAGUAAUAUUUUUAACUAAAUUUAUUUUAAAAAAAUAAAUAAAUAAAUAACAUACUAUUUUUUUCUUUAAAAAAAAAAAAAAGUGCGCGUUAGCUGUCGAGGUCUCUCUGAUAGCAACCCCACCAAGGGAACGGAUGCUGUCCCAGAUUCCAUAUGACUUGUCGAGCUCGACCUCAUCAGCAACGUGGGCCCCGCUACUAUAAUUAGAUACUAUCCGUGGGGCCCACGGCCGCGGAGGAAUUUUUAACCACCCAACACCUACCACGUCAUCCGUUCAUCGACCCAAUGAAAUUGUGACACGUACGGGUGAUGUUGCUCCUGGUUUAGUCCCGUGUUCCGAUCAUAGAUAAUUUGGAUUCGGCGAAAAUUCGGUAAUUAUAUAAUACGUAUAAAAUUUAUUUUUUAAUUUUAAAUUUGGUAAAAAUUUUAAUUUAAAAAAUGAAUUCGAUAUAAAAUAUAAAAUAUAUGAUAUAAAAUAUAAAAUAAUUUAUAUUUAAAAAUAAAAUUAUAAAUUUUUUAUUCAUAUUUUCAAUAAUUCGGUAAUAAUUUGCGAAUAAUUCGUGAAUUAUUCACGAAUAAUUCGGCUGGUCGAAAAAUUCGCGAAUAAUUCUCUUUCUUUUGAAAAAAUUUGUAAACGGACUGCUUAAUUCAGAUUUUCAAUAAUUCGCGAAUAAUUCGCGAAUUUACUAACUAGGGUCCCGACUCGGUCCCUCUCUAUGAACCCAACUACGACUCUAGAUGAGUCCCCCCCGCAAAAAAAAAAAAAAAAAAAAAAAAAAUNAAUAAAAUUAUAAAUUUUUUAUUCAUAUUUUCAAUAAUUCGGUAAUAAUUUGCGAAUAAUUCGUGAAUUAUUCACGAAUAAUUCGGCUGGUCGAAAAAAAAACAAAACAAAAUCCUUUAAAUUUUGUAAACAACAACAUUUUAUAGUUUUUCUUUUUUUUUCUCAUUUAGUUAGGUUUUGCACCUAGUCCUUUUUAUUUUUGAUAUUGUCAAAAUAGGUGUGUUAUAUUUAGCCAUAAUUUAAAUUACUUUGCUCUAGUAAUAGUAAAAUUUGUUAUAAAUAUAUUUACUCAUAAUUUAGAUCACUCUUGGAUCUGUUAAUGCGGUUCUACUGCUUAUGAUCAAUAGGUGAGAUCCUCAAUCAAACACUGAGGUUAAUUUGGAGUACCUGAGUGCUUUAAAAUUCCGUGCAUUCGCUAUCACUCUUUUAAGGAGUGUAGGCACUCCCUCUCUUUCUGUCUCUAUCUAAAAAUAAUCAAUGACAUAUUGAAUAAUACUAUUUAUGUAUAUUUUUUUAUUAAUCAUACUGUUGCGACUAAUAAAAUUUAUUUCAUCUUAGAAUGGAUGGAUGUACAUUUUACUAGUUAUGUCGAUAUAACUAAUAAAAUUCAUCCACCUUAAAAUGAGUGAAUAUACAUCAUACACUCUUUUCAAGAGUGUACAAGUAGAGUUUUCCUAAUAUAUUUAGUGGCUACGUGUGUCAAAUACUAAAUUACUUUAGCACAUGCCUACCAAAGCACUCCUGAGCUUGACCAAGACGUUAUGCUACCGUUUGGUUCGGGGUUAAGAAAAAAUUAGUUAUUCCAGAAAUAGGGUUAGGUUUAGGAUUAAGAUGGAGUUAGAGUAUUUUUGUGUUUGGUUGGGGGUUGGAAUUAGUCUAGAAUAGUGAAAAAUAGUGUUUGGUUCGAGUAGGUGGGAUAAGAAGGAUAGUGAGUUAUUAUGAAUAGAAAAUAGUGUUUGGUUGGGGAUAUAUAGAUCUUUUGUGUAGCUUUAUUACCAAGCUCUAGUUCUUGAAGAUAUCAUGUGGGUCGCAAAAAUAUUUUUCUCAUAUAUAUAAUACGCAAUAUUCAUGUCGACGCUGUCGAUUCAACACCCAAAUAAUGAAUUUCCAAAAAGACCAAUGUUCUCUUCUAUACCUAUAAUAUCUCAAUGAACUCACAAAUCAAAUCAAACCUUAAUUGGUCUUACACCUUUGAUCAUCCUUGAUUCCAGUUAAUUAAUUUCUUCUUCCACCCAACCCCAACGUAUUAUAUAUACAAAACAAACUGUUUGAGCACAUAUUUUAAGGAUUAUGUAAUAAGCAUCACAUGCUAAAACUGGUUAAAUUAAUGUAUGAUCCUUUGAUUCUCUCAUAUCUUUGCUAUAUUAUUAUUAUUUUUUUAAAACAAAAAAAGACCCAUUAGUUUCUUUGCUUAUAAGAUAUCGCAACUAUAUAUAUAUAGUUUGUGUUUGACCAUCUUUCCCCCCAACUUUAAAAAGUGCUACGAAAAGUGCACGAGAGAGAGAAUCUUCUUGUAGAAACUUCCACAAUAACUUUACAACAUGACGUAGCAAUUCUACCAAGAGCCAACAAAUUUUUCCUCAAAAUAAAUACACCGAAUCUGAACCAAAUCAAUUUGUUUUGCUCGGCUUAAUUGGGUGAAAUUGGCUCCUUUAGAUUUCAUAUUAUAGCUUAUAAAUCCGAAACAAUCCUAUGAGAGAUCAUAUUUGCUCAUAAAAAUCUCACUCGCUGGCUUUUUGAUGGUGCACCAGUAUGCAUCCCCACUACCGUGUAUGGUUAAUUAAUAUUUUCUGUGUUAGAGCAGAAGCUCUAAGCUGAAACUUCUUCAGCAGCGACAUCAUGACAGAUACCCUAUCUAGUAGCAUAUAAGGAAGGAAACGGGCGAUUAAGUUGUAUAUAUCUUCCCUUAGCCGUCAAUUGACCACCCACCCGAUCAUCAUCUCUUUCACACACAUUCUCUUUCUUUAUCAUCACCGUCAUCAUGAUUCAAAACCCUAAUUGAGGGUCCCCACCAUUUUUCUUUCUCCUCAUCUCCUUGAAGUGUUCCAACAAAGAGGAAUGGCCCCCACUCCUUCACAUGCCAAUACACACACAUACCAACGGCCAUCUUAUUACAUAGCUGGCUUGUAUGAUUCCAUCGACCCACUACUCCUCACAACCCCACACACUCCUUGGCGCACACACACACACGAACCCCUCUUCCAAUCUCAAAUCUCGGCCGUCCGUUCCUGCACUAAAUCCAAUCGUCCAUUCGCACGCAUACAUAUGCAAAGUGUGGUGCCACUGGAAUGAACAAACGUUUUCCGUAGGAAAUUAAUUAAGAUAAGUCGAUUUUAAUCUACACCAACUGGUAUAAAACUCGAUUAGGUCGAUUUGACGACCAAAAUUUAAUCCAAACUAAAUACUGAUAAAAUGAAAAGGAUAAGUUAGUCCAAACAGAAUCGUAAUAAAUUUAAUAAUAACAACGAGUUUUUAUCAUCCCACGCGAAUCACGAUGCACGUGCGCUUCAGUAAUAAUCUCGUGCUAGACGGCCGCCCGCCACACACACCGACCGUUUACACCCACCCUCUCCCUCUCUCUAUGUGCCCGUCCGCGCACGAAUCUCAACGCAGUGGCUACGCACGUGUCGAUGGUGUCACUGUGAAUCCCACCCAACACGUGCGAGCUGCGUCCGAAUCACGUCAAUGGCCCUCGUUGCGCCACGUCACCCCGAUCACCCGAGUGGUCAUUACAGUAUUUUUAUUAUUUUUUAUUUUAUCUUUACCGAGUAAUUAUAAACAGCGACAAUUAAGACGCACGUAAUAUAUUAUAUUAUAAUAAUAAUAAUAAUAAUAAUAAUAAUAGGAUUGCGAGUGGCUGUGUAGCUGUAGCAGCAAGCGUUACUCGCGGUACGAUUACAACAAAUCACCGACCACUUGUUAUAUCUAACGGCUCCCAAGCGACGCAGAAGAGACAGUGCGCUCACACUCACACCCAUCUCCCCCUCCGCACCGUCGAUCUCCGCGGCGACGGCCCUGAUCAAGGACGGGGUCACGUGCACAAUGUGCGCCUCGUGCGACAACCCGUGCCAACCCCUCCCCUCCCCUCCUCCUCCUCCGCCGACCACCGCCACGUGUCCCCCGCCGCCGUCGUCCGUGUACUACCCGGCGCCGCCGCCGCCGAACCCCUUCUUGCCCUACUUCCCGUUUUACUAUUAUAGCCCUCCCCCUCCCGGUAAUUACAUCUCCGCCACUCCCCCUUCCAUAAACAACCCCGUCUCCUCCUCUCCCCCGCUUCUACCCCUCCUCCUCCUCCUCUCCCCCCUCCUCUUCCUAUAACAUCCCAAAACCUCGGAGGGGUAUUUUGGGAAUUCGGAGGCUACCACCGAUCUCGCUCUGUAAAACUCCCUUUUUCUCAUCUCUUAAUUUCUCUUCUUUUUUUUUCUUUUUUUUUUUCUUUGUAAUUUUUAUGUUGGGCCUCUAGUGUUGUUGUGAUUGUAAUAAUAAUAGUAAUUAGUAAUAAUCACAGGCGGGGGGGAGGAAUGGAAAAUUAGGAUGAAAUGAAAUAAGGGCGAAUUGUUUAUGGUGGGGAUUAUUUCUAGUUUAUUAGUAAUUGUUAGCAAAGUGUAUAAUUAUUAUUAUUAUUAUUAUUAUUAUUAUUUUUAGAUGGUUAUAUAACUUGGAGAAUUUGGUGAGUUUGGUAACGCUGCAGGAUUUGAUAUCUUUAAUAAUAAAAUAAAUCCUUUUCGGUGGAUCUCCCAAUUACCUUUCCACUCAUGCUACUAGCUAGAUGGAGCUUAAAUUAUUGCUUCUGCUUUUGCAAAAAGCUUAUUUUCACUUCUAGAGCAGAGACAUGUUCUAGAGCUCGUGUAAAGUAAAUCAAGUACUAAAUCCAAUUUCAUACUACUUGCAUUAGAAUAUCUAUAUAUAUAUAUAUAGAAAAUAAUCUGUUUUAUAACUUUUAUAGAGAAAACUUCAAAUACUAUCCAGAAUUUUCUCACUUUAGUAUCUCGUGGUUUAAACUGUAUCAUUUUAUGGUUUCUUUUUUCUCUUUUCGUUAUCCUUUUCGUUAAUUUUUUCGUUAAUCAAUAAGAAAGUUAAAAUUAUAGGGUAUUAAAACAAAAUUUUGUAAACCAUGAGGUAGUAAAAUGAAUAUUUGAUAAACCACAGGGAGUAUCUGAAGUUUUUUUUCUAUAUAUUUUAACGGGGAGUCAACAGAAGGAAUAACAAAAAAAUUAACGAAAAGGAUAACGAAACGAGAAAAACGAAACUAUUUGGUACUAAAGUGAUACAUUUUAAAUCACAACAUACUAAAAUAAAAAUUCACGAAAUUAUAGGUGGUGGUAUUUGAAAAUUUUUUUUUUUUUCUUAAUGCCAGCAAAUCCUUUUGAGAUGCAGAGUGAGUAGAGGAAGCAGAUGAAGGGGAAUCGUACAACUCUCAUACAAAAUGUAGGAAUCAUUUGAAUAAAAACUCCCACAGGUACCCCUUUAUCAUUUGGUGCGUUGGUUUGUAUUAGUACUAAGCCACCUAUCCGUUUGGUUGGGGGUUAAGGGGUGGAAUAACCCCUUAACCCCCAUUGUAUUUCCAAACACUUUUAAAAAUGGGCGGGUUAGUUAAUCCCAUCUAAUCCCACCAAACUCCAACCAAACACUAUUUUCUAUUCAUAAUAACUCACUAUCCUUCUUAUCCCACAUACUCCAAUCAAACACUAUUUUUCAUUAUCCUGGACUAACUCCAAUCCCCAACCAAGCACAAAAGUACUCUAACUCCACCUUAACCCNAAAAAAAAAAAAAAAAAAAAAAAAAAAACCAUAUGGCACUUAAAUUAUACAUUUUAAGCUACAUAGUAUAACGGAAAGUUAACGGAGGGUAUAACGAAAAGAAAAAAAUGAAGCCAUAACAUACUAAAGUGAUACACUUUUAAUCAUAAUGUACUAAAAUGAGAAAGUGUUAAACGGCAGGACGGUAUUUGAUUUUUUUCCUAAUUUUUAUAUCGAAUGAGAUGAAAAAAAAAAAUUCUACUAGAUUUUUUUUUCUAAGAUUCGAAAGGCAAAAAAAAUAAUUUUUAAAACAUUUUCGGAAAACCAAACAACCGCUUAAUUAAAGUUUGUACCUAACAUCACUUAAAAAGAAUAUUAGAAGAUACUUGAUUACCUCUCCACAUUAACUAGGCUUGUUGUACGUCUAAGCUACGUGCCCAUGUGCAAUGGAAAGCUACAACUUGCCAUAGAUGAUGCUCAUGUUCCACACACUACAACAGAAGUAGGUUAUAGGGACACAUAUUUGAAACAUUUUUAAGUAAAUAUUUUAUUUAUGCUAAAACUUAAAAAAACAUCUACUUAUGCCUAAAUAUAAAGCCCAAUUCAAUCAAAAAUAAAAGAUUACUCUACUCAACCCAUCACACCCAGUCCAUUUGACCCGAUUACAAACAGAAAAAAAAAAAGAAAGAAAAAUCAAUUACCUUAUUUUCUUCUCUCUUCACUCAAUCCACUGAAAUUCUAAACGAAGAGCCUUUGCUGUCGUCCUCCUCCGCCACCGCAGCCAACGAGAUAGAGUUUCGGCGGUUGCUAAAUGCUUAAAUAAGUAUUGGUAAAUUAGCAGCACUCUUUUAGGUUAUAGCGACACUCUUUAACUGUCACUAUAUACCUAGCGACCCCACAUAUAGCAACACUUUUUAAAAGUGUCGGUAAUUUUAGCUAGCAACACUUUUUUGACAUGUACCUACAUUUAAAAGUAUUGCUAUAGAUCAUUUUUGUUGUAGUGACAUCCCAUGUGCACCAUACCUGCACUACAU